CGGGGAGUGGGCUGAGUUCGAGGCCUUCGAAUGAACCCAGGGGGCAGCCAGAGGGCCCCAUGCUCACGGCGCCGCCGCCGGAUGAGCUGAAGGACGAGAAGAGCCCCAAGGGCCAGGAGGAGCACCCCAGCCACUGCUUCCUGAUAUCGGGUUGGUCACUAUACCCCUGGGGAGACCUGUCUCCCUUAAAAGUAACUUGGAGGUUCUGCUUCCCCACUCAUCUGUGAACCACCUGCCUCUCAGGCAAAAAGACCCUAGGCCAUCCAACGUUGGAAUUGGAAGCAGGGUUUGGGGCUCAGAGCAGCUAACUGCAGGUGCAAUCUCUGAGAGCAGAUUUGGGGUCUGCUGAGAUCUCAUACUACUGAGUUAGAGACAUUCCAGAAGUCUCAGCUUUCUAAACAGGUAAGUUGGUUCUGAAGAUGCUUUUGGCCAAUAAAAGGAAAGGUGGGAGCACCUGGCUUUGAGGAAGUGGCUGAGAUUGUGGUGAGGGUGGUGGUGCUGGGUAAUAAUGAGGCUCUGAGAAGACCCAGGACAAAUACAGUGAUGCCGGCACUUCAUUCACUUAUUGACAUUUGUGUAGCACUACAUCCUUGUAUCUUGGGGUGAGAUCCCGUUACUAUCCCCAUUUGACAUUGAGGAAGCUGGGGCAGAAAAGGUCAAGAAACUAGCCUAAGGUGGUUGCCUAGAGAGUGGCUGAAUCUGGAGAAGUCAGUAGUCACCUCCAGCAUCUGUUCUUCUCAGUACUAUUUGCUGCCGGACCCCCACUCCACCCAGCAGUAGGUGGUUUGAAGCUCUUUUUUGUCUGACCAGGACACAUUUUAUCGUUUCUGUGCUAUCUCUCUCCUGGGAUCCUCUUAUUAUUAUUUUUUUUUUUAAGUAGGCUUCACACCCUGUGCCAACGUGGGGCUUGAACUCAUGACUUGAGAUCAAGACCUGAGCUGGAAUUAAGGGUCAGAUAUUUAACCGACUAAGCUACCCAGGCAGCCCCCUCCUGGAUUCCUUUGUCCUGAGGCAGAAACUCCUCAGAGAUAGAGGAUGAGGGUCAACUUUUCAUGGGGAAUUGAUGGAGCCCUCUGUUGGGAGUAAGGCCAGUUGCUUUGUCCUGAGCAGCCUUUGUCCUGGGUCCCCAGCCCCAUCAGCAUAAUGCCUAGUAGCAAAAACUCUUCUUGUUCUGGGGAUUAUUAUCAGCCUUGAGCCCUUCUGUCUGUUCUGAGGCCCAGAGCUGUGGGCUGGCCCUCCUCAUCUCUGUAGGUGUUCUGCCUCCUGCCGUGUGUCUCUCCAGCCCCGAGGAAAUGGAGGAUUGCCGCAGAGGCUCUUUGCUCUCCUGUCUCACCUCCCUGCUUCUCUUCUUCCAGUUGCCUGCUGGGGGGUCUGCAGAGGAGUUUGUGGUGAUUGGCCCCUCGGACCCCAUUGUGGCAGUGAUGGGUGGGAACGUCACGCUGCCCUGUCAUGUGUCCCCAGCCAUGGAUGUGGAAAACAUGGAGCUGCGGUGGUUCCGCUCCAAGUUCUCAGAGGCAGUGUUCAUCUAUGAAAACCAGCAGGAACAGAAAGAAGAGCAGCUGGCUCAGUACACAGGGCGGACCUCGCUGGUGAAGGACUUCCUCAGCCAGGGGGAGGCCACUGUGCGUAUCCACAAGGUCCAGGCUUCCGACAACGGGCUGUAUACCUGCUUCUUCAGAAAGGGAAGUUUCUAUGAAAAGGCCAGUUUGGAGCUGAAGGUGGCAGGUGUGGGCUCUGUCCCUCAAGUGCACAUCACAGGGCCAGAGGAGGAUGGGGUCCGAGUGGUGUGUACGGCCUCGGGAUGGUUCCCAAAGCCCCAGAUACAGUGGAGAGCUGCUAAUGGGGAAAAGUUCCUGACAUUCUCUGAGACCCAUGCCCAAGACACUGAAGGGCUGUUCAGCGUGGAGUCUGCUCUGGUGGUGAGGGACAGCUCUUCAGGGAACAUGACCUGCUCAGUCCUCAACCCCGUCCUGGACCAGAAGAAGGCGAUGGCCAUUUUCAUCCCAGAGCCCUUCUUCCCCCAGGCCUCUCCCUGGAAGCCAGCUUUCAUAGUGAGCCUCGUGGUGCUGAUGCUCUCACUCCUUGGGACUGCCUGUUACACCAAGACAGUACAUACUGUAAAGAGGCAGGAGAUGCAGGAAUGGGAGAGACUGCACAGGGACAAGGAGGAGGCCCGGCAGACAAAGGAGGAGGCGUUGAAGGCCAGAGAUGAACUCCAAGAAGAUCUCGGCAGGAGGAAAUCCAUUUACCUGGGUGGCUGGAGGAAGGCGCAGUUGUAUGCAGAUUGGCGGAAGGAGAAGUUCCAGGCCUUGUCUGUCACUCUGGAUCCAGCGUCUGCACAUCCCCACCUUGCUGUCUCUUGUGGACAGACUAGUGUGACCUUGGAGGACACAACUGAGGACCCAGGAAGAUCCUGUAGCAUCUUGGGCCAGGAGGCCAUCACAUCAGGGCGCUGCUACUGGGAGGCAUGGGCUCUGUCCCCAAAGUACACCUCACCAGGCCAGAGAGGGACAGGGUUUCAGUGCACAGCCUUGGAGUGGCUCCCAAAGCCCCACGUGCAGUGGAGGUCCCUCAGUACGGAGAAGUUCCUGGCAUUCUCAGAGACCCAUGCCCAACAUGCUAAAGGGCUGUUCAGUGUGGAGGCUGCCUGGUGGUGAGUGACAGGUCUCCAGGCAAUAUGACCUGCUCAGUGCUUAGCCUCAUCUGACCUGCGACCAUAUUGCCAGCUGUUUUGCCUUCAAUGCAACUAGUUCUCAGUCAGCACCUGGAAGCCACAAACCAGGUAUCAUCCCAAAUAUGCCUGAGGACAUCCCGAGGAAGUACAUGCUAGAAUAAUCUCCAUUGCACAGGAAGGACACAGACCAUCCCUGAGAGGCACAAUGGCUUAUCCACGGUCAAAAUCAGAACUGCACACCAGAGAUGGGGCAGGAGUUGAGUGAUGAGAUCCACUGCUCAACUUCCGUGAAGGACAGGAAUAUGCCCCACACCACCAACAGGAUGCAGCACCGAAGCGGCUCAGGGGGAGUGCAGGGUAAAAAUGCCUCAACCGUGAAUAAGAAUGAGACCAGUGUGGUGUGGACCAUCCAGGCAGGCUUGCUGGAUAAGCAAGUGUAGCAUCCUGUGCCUGUCUUCCUGGGCAGAGACCGCUGCCCCCCCGCCCCCAUGUCUCCAUGUUCCUGGACAUGUACAGAACUUUUCCACUACUGAAAAGGUGCUGGAUUUGUUGAUUCCAAGGUAUGGAUGCAUCCUUUCUGAAAUGGGAUGAAGAUGGCAGACCCCUGGAGCAGCAGAAAAUGGCCAUCUUCUCCAUUCUGGGCACCUGGAUGGCCCACUCCCCUGAGGAUUUUUUCCAACCUGCAGAAUUUCCCUGCCUGAAGAUGCUGCUGGCAUACAUGGGGCUUAGCAUGCUGGGCUCACACCUGGAGCACCAUACGUCUGUUUUCCUCUCAUAGCUGGGACACAUGGAGCCCAAUGAGCCAGAGGUUGAGGCUAUAGCACCCGUUCCGGAGCAGGAUCCAGAACCAACUCAAGAGCUAGCCCCAGCUCCCACUGUGGUGCCUGCUGCAGCUUCAGAGCCCGAGGUGGCUGAAGCCAUCACUCCUGCUGGAGCUCAGCAAUUAGGAAAAGCAGUGACCCUCCCUGCAGUGUCAGAGCCAGUGCAGGUGGUAGUUAUAGCUCUGAUUCACUGUCAGGAGCUGGAAGAACCACCUGCACCUUUGGCAGCCCUGGAGCAUGAGCAGGCCCCAGCCCCAGCUACUGGGGUUACGGAAGGACUAGAACAACCACUUGCUACAGCUGAACAACCAGCCUCAGCUCCCAAGCAGUGGCUCGUGUCGGCUGCAGCCCCAAAGGAUGGCUUCCCCUCCCCUGUCGUUGCUUUUUUUUUUUUUUGAAAUUUUUGUUUUUUUUUCAGAUAUGGAAUGGCUUAGUGUAUUUUGUUUUAUAAGUAAAGUAUAAAUUGACUUCAA
This is an RNA transcript of Prionailurus viverrinus (fishing cat), 3968 nucleotides long. It is a transcript of the gene named butyrophilin-like protein 1, with no coding region annotated. The transcript is spliced from 18 exons. The record is from RefSeq and is a predicted model, not a curated record. NCBI's taxonomy places the organism in Eukaryota, Metazoa, Chordata, Mammalia, Carnivora, Felidae.